Molecule: ribosomal RNA, 167 nt
Filed under: Chrysozyma fushanensis
Lineage: Eukaryota; Fungi; Basidiomycota; Microbotryomycetes; Chrysozymaceae
Description: partial large subunit ribosomal RNA
Rfam family: Eukaryotic large subunit ribosomal RNA
Source: RNAcentral
CGGGAAGAGCUCAAAUUUGUAAUCUGGCACCUUCGGUGUCCGAGUUGUAAUCUCGAGAAGUGUUUUCCGCGCUAGACCGCAUACAAGUCUGUUGGAAUACAGCGUCAUGGUGGGUGAGAACCCCGUAACUGAUGCGGAUGCCUAGUGCUUUGUGAUACGCUUUCGAA